Molecule: ribosomal RNA, 481 nt
Filed under: uncultured bacterium
Lineage: Bacteria
Description: partial 16S ribosomal RNA
Rfam family: Bacterial small subunit ribosomal RNA
Source: RNAcentral
GCCGAACGCUGGCGGCGUGCUUAACACAUGCAAGUCGAACGCUGAAGCCCUUUCGGGGGUGGAUGAGUGGCGAACGGGUGAGUAACACGUGGGUAAUCUGCCCUGCACUCUGGGAUAAGCCUUGGAAACGGGGUCUAAUACCGGAUAGGACACAUCGCCGCAUGGUUGGUGUGUGGAAAGUUCCGGCGGUGCAGGUUGAGCCCGCGGCCUAUCAGCUUGUUGGUGGGGUGAUGGCCUACCAAGGCGACGACGGGUAGCCGGCCUGAGAGGGUGACCGGCCACACUGGGACUGAGACACGGCCCAGACUCCUACGGGAGGCAGCAGUGGGGAAUCUUGCGCAAUGGGCGAAAGCCUGACGCAGCAACGCCGCGUGGGGGAUGACGGCCUUCGGGUUGUAAACCUCUUUCGACCGGGACGAAGGGUGACUGACGGUACCGGUAGAAGAAGCACCGGCUAACGACGGGCCAGCCGCCGCCGUAA